Molecule: ribosomal RNA, 1908 nt
Filed under: Triticum aestivum (bread wheat)
Lineage: Eukaryota; Viridiplantae; Streptophyta; Magnoliopsida; Poales; Poaceae
Description: partial small subunit ribosomal RNA
Source: RNAcentral
AUGGCCACGUCGUCGACGCUGAGCCAGACGCAGCGGUACGCUGCGGGUGCGCUCCUCGCGCUCGCGCUCCGCCAGGCGCAGAUCCACCAGCGCGUCCUUCUCGGCUCCCACGGCCUCGACGAGGGCCCGGACCCUGAGACCGCCGUCCUCUCCAGCGACGACCCCGACGGCCGCGACCUCUGGACCCACGACUCCCGCGGCCUCCUCCGCCCCGUCCUCCGGUUUCUCGAGAUCGACCCCAAGGCCUGGCCGGGCGUGGAGAAGACGGCGGCGACCUCCGAGCCCAAGCACCACAUUGGAGCCUUCCUCCGGAAAGUGUUCGAGGACGAAGAUGACGGCGAGAAGGCCGCCGCCGAUAGGUCCGACCUCGAGCUCGCGCUCGCCAAAGCCGUCGACGCGAUGGCGAUGGGCCUGGAGAACGACGUUGCACCGGGCGACCUGUUCAAACAACACGUGUUCGGCGGCGACAAUGAGGAACAGGAACCGUCUGACGACGGGUCGCCGUCGUCGCCUGGCGGCGGAGGGCGCUCCAAGGACUACCGGAAGAUGGCGGUGCUGUACAUGCUCCUCUCAGCUUGCGUGGCGGACGUGAACAUGGGCGAGGACGGCAUGGGGUCCCCCCGCAUAAGGAAGGGCUACGACGCCCGCCACCGCGUGGCGCUCCGACUGAUCGCGACUUGGCUUGACGUCAAGUGGAUCAAGAUGGAAGCUAUCGAGAUAAUGGUUGCUUGCUCUGCUAUGGCUGCAGCGAAAGAGGACGAGAAAUCGCGUGAAAGUACGUCGCCGAGAAGCAGGUGGCAGAAAUGGAGGCGUGGGGGAAUCAUCGGCGCCGCCGCCUUGACCGGAGGGACGCUCAUGGCCAUCUCCGGGGGUCUAGCUGCUCCAGCGAUUGCUGCAGGGUUCACUGCUCUUGCUCCGACGUUGCACGCACUUGUCCCUGUUAUAGGGGCUAGCGGAUUUGCUGCUAUAGCUACUGCUGCUGGACACACCGCUGGCUCAGUAGCAGUUGCUGCAUCAUUUGGAGCUGCUGGAGCUGGGUUAACUGGCUCCAAAAUGGCCAAAAGAAUUGGAAAUGUGAAAGAAUUCGAGUUCAAAGCCCUCGGCCAGAACCAUAACCAGGGUCGCCUAGCAGUUUGCAUCAUGGUUUCUGGAUUCGCUUUUAAUGAAGACGAUUUUUUAAAGCCGUGGGAAGGAUGGAAAACUAACUUAGAGAGGUACAUUCUUCAGUGGGAGACUAAGCAUAUAAUUGCCUUGAGUACAGCAAUACAGGAUUUUCUGGCAUCAAGAUUUGCAAUGGAGCUGAUGAGGGAAGGUGCAAUGCAGACUGUGUUAAGCGGUAUAAUUUCAGCAUUUGCAUGGCCUGCUACCUUGGUAGCUGCUGCAGAUUUUAUUGACAGUACAUGGUCCGUUGCUAUUGACAGAUCAGAUAAGGUUGGGAUAAUGCUUGCUGAAGUGUUGCUCAAUGGACUGCAAGGAAGCAGGCCUGUCACUCUAAUAGGUUUUUCACUCGGUGCGCGUGUCGUGUUCAAAUGUUUGCAGGAAUUAGCUCUUUCAGGCAAUAACGAGGGAAUCGUCGAGAGGGCUGUGCUGAUAGGUGCACCGAUUUCAGUUAAUGACGAGUUGUGGGGGCCUGCCAGGAAGAUGGUUGCUGGAAGGCUUGUGAACGUGUACUCCACCAAGGACUGGAUCCUCGGCGUCACUUUCCGGGCAAGUCUGCUCACGCAAGGCUUGGCUGGCAUCCAGGCAGUCCAAGUCCCCGGAGUUGAAAAUGUUGACGUUAGCGAGCUCGUCGUCGGGCACUCCUACCUGGGACUCAUGCAGCAGAUCCUGGAGCAGCUAGAGCUCAAUACUUACUACCCGGUGUUCUCCCCCUCCACGCCCAGGUCCAGCACGCCCAGAUCGAAAUAA